RNAcentral lists this ribosomal RNA (369 nucleotides) under uncultured organism. RNAcentral's name for it is "bacterial SSU rRNA". It matches the Rfam family "Bacterial small subunit ribosomal RNA", at positions 526 to 896 of the family's 1533-position model. The record is from RNAcentral.
CGAAUGGAGCGAGCGUUGUUCGGAAUCACUGGGCGUAAAGCGUGCGCAGGCGGUUGUGAAAGUCAGAAGUGAAAUCCCAGGGCUUAACCCUGGAAUUGCUUUUGAAACUUCACGACUAGAGUACUGGAGGGGUUGGCGGAAUUUCGAGUGUAGCAGUGAAAUGCGUAGAUAUUCGAAGGAACACCGAUGGCGUAGGCAGCCAACUGGACAGUUACUGACGCUCAUGCACGAAAGCGUGGGGAUCAAACAGGAUUAGAUACCCUGGUAGUCCACGCCGUAAACGAUGUGUGCUAGUUGUCGGGCCCUUAGGGCUCGGUGACGCAGCUAACGCUUUAAGCACACCGCCUGGGGAGUACGGUCGCAAGAUUA